GUGCUAAAUUGUAAAAAGUGCUUCGGUCAGGAAGGGGCUGGUUAAUUUUGAGGCGUGUCCUUAUAGGUAGGUGUCAUGCCAUAAGCCCAUUUUACCUUUUAUUUAUAAAUGUAAUUGCUCUUGUCAGUGCUUCUCUUCAAUGUAAUUUCAAAUUGUGGUGGUUGCAGUCCAACUAUAACAAGUAUAGGAUUUUGAACAUUAGACAUAUUAACAUCAGUCUAUUUUAGUUGCAGGUCUGAGUUAUUUUGAUAUUUUAAUUACAGGACAGGGUCGAAGGAACUGGGGAAGAGUAUAGAAAGUUGCAAACAUCUUCUGCUUCAAUCCACACAUCCUUGACAAGGAGGAGAGAGCAAGUUAUUUAUUUUCAGUUUAACAUACAAUGUAGUGAAAUGUAUGCAUGUUUUGUGUUUUUGUUAAUGUACCUAUAUUUUUUUUAAAUGUGCUUCCAGAUUAACAUUAUUCUUAAAAAGCUCUGCUCCACACUUCCUGAUGCAGGAGCCUUCCCUGUUGAUCCAACCAUAAAGAGACAUAAAGCCAAGAAGACAUAAUCAGGAAAAGGGAGUACUCCCUACAUGCGCUCAUAAGAAAUGAGAUGGAGGAAAAAUGUACUUUAUUGCUUGGAUUUGAAGUUACGUAGGAAGAGAAAUAGAAAAACGAUUCCUUCAUCCUAAAUAGUUAGACAUUUCUGUUUCAAGCCGUCCUUUUGGGAUGGGGUUCGAUUGAUAUGGUUCAUAAUGCUAGACUGUUCAUGCAAUAAACUGUAACUGCCAUUUGCAGAUAGCUUGUGAUACAAUCCAUAAGCCCCUUAGACCUAUGCUUUUAUAAUAAAUUGGUCAGCUGUUGGCUUUAUAUGAUGCCCUUUGUUUACCAUUUCUCCUUGUUUUUAAAAAGAAAAAAAAAGUUUAAUUGUUAUAGAAAUGUUCUCCCAGACCCAAAUUGCUUUUUAUGUUGUUUUUAUUUUAAUUAUUUUGAUGACUUAUGAUGAGCCUGAAAUGGAUUUUGCUUUAUAAUCAAAGUUGCUGAUAUAAUUUGUUUUGUCAGUUUUUGGUUAUUAUAAAAAAAAAGUUUAUUUUAAACAUUAGAUUUUUUUUAUUUUUUACAUUUUUAUCUAAAACAUGAAUUUAUACAUGUUUUUGUUCAGCUAUUUUCUGUUAACCAAUUACAGCAAUGUGCAUGUGUUUUCAGAACUUUGGGCAAAUUGUCUGGAGGAACAGAGGCACUAAACCUGAUAUUGAAGCAUAGAUACUAAGGCUCAAUGGACACUAUAAUUUUUUUCUGCUUCUAGAAGCUAAAUAGUGUUAUCCUAUGUGUCCAUGCACACUACUUUAGGCUAUUAGCAUUUUUUGAGCUUCAGCUUAUAUGAGCAGAAAGUAAAUUGUUUUCGUAGUUUCUUGAGCGUUUUUCCAGCAGAAAAAUACGCUGAAUGCUCCAAACUGCUACUAACAGAUUUAUUUUUUCUUUAUGUACUGCAAAAAUGCCAAUACAAUGCUAAGGCUCCUAACUGCUCCUAAAUGCUUCUAAAAGCUACAAAAAUGCUACUAAAAGCUGGCACAAAAUGCUAUUAUCAGCAUUUUUCACCUGGUGUUUUUUGGGGAUUUUUUUUAGAUUAUAGUGUGCAUGAGCCUAAACGAGUACACGUGCCAGAGAAAUGCUGAGUAACCCUACAAGGGUAAUUCAUUUGUACAAUAUGAACUUUUCACUUAUAAAGCAUUAACGGAUUUUGCCAUACAUGGGUAUUGCCAAAUCUGUAAAAACCUCACACAAAACAAACUAUUAAAGGCUUUAUAGGACUGUUGACCCUAAAAGGUAAUCUAUUGCCAUAUAGAGCCAAGUUACUGGCAAAAUAGGUCUACAGCUGGCUAUACAAAUAGCUAUCUGAACAAUGAAUAUAACCAGAAGGAAGCUUCUGAUCACUUAACAUGCACAUCUAUUAUUUUGUGUGCAAUGGUAGAUGGAAGUUGUAGACGGCAGUGGUUGAGAGUUCUGGCUAAUCUAAAUUUUUCUCUUUUUUUGUCAGCAAGGAUGAACAGAAAAGACACAACGAAUUUGUUGUGAUAUUGGUGUGCUUACACAAAUGAAAGAAAUUAUUAUACUGAAGUCAUUGUACAACAAUAACGGCACAUUAAAAUGAUCUAAUCUACUUAAGAAUUCACACAUAUUACUUGUCACUUGUUGAAUUUAUGAAGUAGAAUGCAUUUGUUUAUUAAAGAUUUAUUUCAUGUUAGUGUUUUUAUGGGACUCCACUAACCUGAUGGUUUCUAAAGUGCCACCAGCAUAUCUCUAUUAACUUUCUACUAUGAAGCUGAUUGCUUGGUCCGGUCUCCUCUUGCUGCCCAUGGUACAUGGUAGGCCACCAUCAACCAAUCGUACCUUUAUUUUUUAUUAGGGUUUUGCAGUUUCUGAUAAAGCUCUCAAAGCCAAUUAAAGCUCAGUUCCACCCAAAAGUGGUAGCUCCGCUUAUCUGACGCCGCUACCGGGGCAUUCAGAAAGCGCAGCGCUCUUCGCACAUGCAUAGUAUGGAACUGGCUGGGAAGCCGCAAGGCUUCACUGCCAGUUUACCUUACAGAAAAUGGCAGCAGCCGGGAGCCAAUGGAAACUUCAGCUGGGGUGCCAACAUCACUGGAUUCCAGGACAGGUAAGUGUCCUAAUAUUAAAAGUCAGCAGCUACAGUAUGUGUAGCUGCUGACUUUAAAUUUUCUGGGGGGAGUGGAACAUUUUAAAGCAUAAAGGUAGCUCUGUUUGCCUGAACCAACAUGCUGUGGUCAAGUUAAGGCGGCCUUUUUGAACUGGGGUUCUGCAGCAUGCUGGUAGAGAAAAGCUGUGGGAGGAGACAAGCUCCCAAUCCCCAACCAUAUACCAUAGAGAUGAUUGGAGCCCUUCCAGUCUCUGUUAAGCUCUAUAGUCAGCUUGCUGAACCCUCAGGUUUCCCAGUGGGACGGAAGAGCCAGAGAGCCAUUGAAGGUUCCGGGAAAUGUGGGGGAUGUCACCUUCCACUGCUUGUAAAAACAAUCCAGCAGCUAAUUAGACACUAGGAAUGCUUUUACAAAAAAGCCGACUGUUGGCUGAAAAAGACAAUACCGGGAUGAUGCUUGCAGCUGCAGGCAUCAUCCUGGUAUGUCGCUGGUCCUCAAGUGAUUAAAGCCAUUUGAAUGAAUGAAACUUCAAUGUUACAAAACAAUAUGACUCCUACUACCCCCGUGAGCUGGAUAGACCAAAACCUUCAAGCCUCGUACACACUGGCCUAAUGUCGGGAGGCAUCCGGUCUGACAGAAGCCGAUUGUUUGGCCGGCUUCUUCGAACAAGCAUGCUGUAAAACCAGCAGCCGUCCAGCUCCCGAACAACGCUCUUGACCAUUGGUGGAUAGCGCGGACCAGAGUGUUCUGGCAGGUGGGGGGCCGUCCCCCUGUCAGAACACAACAGUUCAGUGGGGGAGGUGGCUGUACUAACGUCAGAUCAUUAGUACAGCGGCUCCGACUGGAACUGUCAGUUUUUUUGU
Rana temporaria (common frog) is the source of this 3496-nucleotide long non-coding RNA. RefSeq lists it as uncharacterized. The transcript is spliced from 2 exons. Lineage: Eukaryota; Metazoa; Chordata; Amphibia; Anura; Ranidae. The record is from RefSeq and is a predicted model, not a curated record.